GACGAACGCUGGCGGCGUGCUUAACACAUGCAAGUCGAACGGAAAGGCCUCUUUCGGGGGGUACUCGAGUGGCGAACGGGUGAGUAACACGUGAGUAACCUGCCCUUGACUUUGGGUUAACUUCAGGAAACUGGGGCUAAUACCGGAUAGGAGCUCCUGCUGCAUGGUGGGGGUUGGAAAGUUUCGGCGGUUGGGGAUGGACUCGCGGCUUAUCAGCUUGUUGGUGGGGUAGUGGCUUACCAAGGCUUUGACGGGUAGCCGGCCUGAGAGGGUGACCGGCCACAUUGGGACUGAGAUACGGCCCAGACUCCUACGGGAGGCAGCAGUGGGGAAUAUUGCACAAUGGGUGGAAGCCUGAUGCAGCAACGCCGUGUGCGGGAUGACGGCCUUCGGGUUGUAAACCGCUUUCGCUCAUGACGAAGCUUUGUGUGACGGUAGUGGGUAAAGAAGCACCGGCUAACUACGUG
This 467-nucleotide ribosomal RNA is filed under the name uncultured bacterium. RNAcentral describes it as "partial 16S ribosomal RNA". It matches the Rfam family "Bacterial small subunit ribosomal RNA", at positions 28 to 507 of the family's 1533-position model. The record is from RNAcentral.